RNAcentral lists this ribosomal RNA (359 nucleotides) under uncultured eukaryote. RNAcentral describes it as "LSU rRNA". It matches the Rfam family "Bacterial large subunit ribosomal RNA", at positions 2127 to 2485 of the family's 2925-position model. The record is from RNAcentral.
GCUUUGUUUGCGCAGGAUAGGUGGGAGGCGUUGAAGAUUUUCUUGCGGGGAGAUUGGAGCCGUUGGUGAGAUACCACUCUAACAAUGCUAGGAUUCUAACCCUAUACCGUUAUCCGGUUAGGGGACAGUUUCAGGUGGUCAGUUUGACUGGGGCGGUCGCCUCCCAAAAGGUAACGGAGGCGUGCAAAGGUUUCCUCAGGCUGGUCGGAAAUCAGUCGUAGAGUGUAAAGGCAUAAGGAAGCUUGAUUGUGAGACCUACAAGUCGAACAAAGACGAAAGUCGGCCUUAGUGAUCCGACGGUUCCGAGUGGAAGGGCCGUCGCUCAACGGAUAAAAGUUACUCUAGGGAUAACAGGCUGA